RNAcentral lists this ribosomal RNA (1317 nucleotides) under Triticum aestivum (bread wheat). Its description in RNAcentral is "partial small subunit ribosomal RNA". Lineage: Eukaryota; Viridiplantae; Streptophyta; Magnoliopsida; Poales; Poaceae. The record is from RNAcentral.
AUGUACGUGCCACGGCCCUCCCGCUCCGAUGGUAGCCGAGACGCCGACGAGCAGCCUAGGGUUUACCAGGUUUGGCGCGGAAACAACGAAUUCUUCUUGCAAGGGAGGCUUAUAUUUGGGCCUGAUGCGAGAUCCAUAUUUCUCACUAUGUCCCUCAUCUUUGUACCAGUGGUGGUGUUCUGUGUAUUUGUCGCCAGACACCUCAUAAAUGACUUUCCUGAUCACUGUGGUAUCUCAGUGAUGGUAGUGGUGGUUGUCUUCACCGUCUAUGAUUUGACGCUACUUCUUCUUACAUCUGGUAGAGACCCUGGUAUAAUACCUCGCAAUACUCACCCUCCUGAACCUGAAAGCAUCUAUGGGAGCAAUUAUAUUAGAGGUCAAACACCGCUCCGUUUGCCUCGGACAAGGGAUGUUGUUGUAAACGGAAUUAGUGUGAAGGUUAAGUAUUGUGACACCUGCUUGCUUUACCGACCACCUCGAUGCUCACACUGUUCUAUCUGCAAUAACUGCGUGGAACGGUUUGAUCAUCAUUGCCCAUGGGUUGGACAAUGCAUUGGGCAGCGUAAUUAUCGGUUCUUCUACAUGUUUGUAUUCUCCACCAUGUUAAUCUGCCUCUACGUAUUUGCCUUUUGUUGGGUGUACAUAAUCAAGAUUAGUGAUGCUGAGCAUUUGUCAAUUGGGAGGGCAAUGUUAAAGACACCAGCCUCAAUUGUUCUGAUUGCCUACUGUUUUCUUUGUGUGUGGUUUGUUGGUGGUCUGUCUGUCUUCCAUUUCUAUCUGAUGAGCACAAACCAGACAACUUAUGAAAAUUUCAGAUACCGCUAUGAUCGGCGGGCUAACCCCUAUAACAGAGGUAUUCUGAACAACAUUCUAGAGAUAUUCUGCAGCUCUAUUCCUCCUUCAAAGAACAAUUUUCGGGCAAGAGUCACGGUAGAGCAAGGUGUAGAACAAGCACGAUCUUCAUCUGGGGGUUUCAUGAGCCCCGACAUGGGCAAGGCUGUUGGAGAUCUUGAAAUGGGCAAGAAGCCAGCGCCUUGGGAUGAACCCAGGACGACAGCCGAUAUUGGCGACUUGGAAGUAGGUCUUGGUGGCAUGUUGGAUGAGAAAGAGGGCAGAGUAACCCAUGCAUCCCCAGAUGUUAGCCGAGAUCAACUUUCCCCGGAGCUUGUGGAAGGCCGAGCUGGCAUGCAUUCAAGGCAUUCAAGCUGGGAUCCUAGAGCUGAAACCUCGGAGUCAGUGAACAGCAAUUCUGUGCAAACAGCCCCUACCGAGGAAACUAAUGGGGGCGGCCAUGUUACUACGAGCGGUGCGCAUUAG